RNAcentral lists this small RNA (80 nucleotides) under Xanthomonas fragariae. RNAcentral's name for it is "sX9 sRNA". It matches the Rfam family "Xanthomonas sRNA sX9". The record is from RNAcentral. Lineage: Bacteria; Pseudomonadati; Pseudomonadota; Gammaproteobacteria; Lysobacterales; Lysobacteraceae.
AUGUACCACGCGUACACUCCGGUUCCUUCGCGCCGUCCGCAUCCACCUGGCCACUGCUCGCUACGUUGUUGUGUUUAGCC